CAGUCGCCGCGGGAAUACGUAGGGUGCAAGCGUUAAUCGGAAUUACUGGGCGUAAAGCGUGCGCAGGCGGUUCUAUAAGACAGAUGUGAAAUCCCCGGGCUCAACCUGGGAACUGCAUUUGUGACUGUAGAGCUGGAGUACGGCAGAGGGGGAUGGAAUUCCGCGUGUAGCAGUGAAAUGCGUAGAUAUGCGGAGGAACACCGAUGGCGAAGGCAAUCCACUGGGCCUGUACUGACGUUCAUGCACGAAAGCGUGGGGAGCAAACAGGAUUAGAUACCCGCGUAGUCCCUGUCUCUUAUAC
This 301-nucleotide ribosomal RNA is filed under the name uncultured bacterium. RNAcentral's name for it is "partial 16S ribosomal RNA". It matches the Rfam family "Bacterial small subunit ribosomal RNA", at positions 509 to 807 of the family's 1533-position model. The record is from RNAcentral.